CAGGGUGUUCCUCAGUGUCUCAGUACCUGAGGAGGUUCUAGAGCCUGUCUGGAGGCAGGAGGUUCCUCAGUGUCUCAGUACCUGGGGAGGUUCUAGAGGCAGGGUGUUCCUCAGUGUCUCAGUACCUGAGGAGGUUCUAGAGGCAGGGUGUUCCUCAGUGUCUCAGUACCUGGGGAGGUUCUAGAGGCAGCAGGUUCCUCAGUGUCUCAGUACCUGAGGAGGUUCUAGAGCCUGUCUGGAGGCAGGGUGUUCCUCAGUGUCUCAGUACCUGAGGGGGUUCUAGAGCCUGUCUGGAGGCAGGGUGUUCCUCAGUGUCUCAGU
Gadus morhua (Atlantic cod) is the source of this 321-nucleotide long non-coding RNA. RefSeq lists it as uncharacterized. The record is from RefSeq and is a predicted model, not a curated record. The transcript has 3 exons. Lineage: Eukaryota; Metazoa; Chordata; Actinopteri; Gadiformes; Gadidae.